Long non-coding RNA from Drosophila albomicans, 416 nucleotides. RefSeq lists it as uncharacterized. The transcript is spliced from 3 exons. Lineage: Eukaryota; Metazoa; Arthropoda; Insecta; Diptera; Drosophilidae. The record is from RefSeq and is a predicted model, not a curated record.
ACUUCGAUUGCGCUUUACAUCGCAGUUUGUUUACGCGUCUUUGUUUUAUUUUGUGCUACUCUUUUGGUCAAACGCAGCUGUGUUUGCUGGCUGACGAAAUUUUGCAAGCAUUUGAGUUGAGAAGUGCAAGGCGGAUCAAUGGAUUAUUAGAUAAUAAAAGGACGACAAGCAGUUAGCAUAAUGUAUUGCUCUACAGUGGAAAACGACAAUGUGCCUAAAGAGACGAAGUGGAAAUUAUGACAGAAAAUCUACGUUAUGGAAAUAAUGACAGGGGAAUGCGGACCUAAAAAGAAAGGCAGUUUCUUUGGUGUUAUGAUCGAUUCAAUAACUGAGGACCACUUUACAAAAGCCUUACAGCUCAAAAAAAACGAUAUUCUAAAAACUCAAGUUGCCUUUAAGUAAUAAAAGUAUCCGAC